Molecule: ribosomal RNA, 403 nt
Filed under: Verrucomicrobiota bacterium
Lineage: Bacteria; Pseudomonadati; Verrucomicrobiota
Description: Verrucomicrobia bacterium partial 16S ribosomal RNA
Rfam family: Bacterial small subunit ribosomal RNA
Source: RNAcentral
UGGGGUAUAUUGCACAAUGGGGGAAACCCUGAUGCAGCGACGCCGCGUGAGCGAAGAAGGUUUUCGAAUCGUAAAGCUCUGUCCUAUGAGAAGAUAAUGACGGUAUCAUAGGAGGAAGCCCCGGCUAAAUACGUGCCAGCAGCCGCGGUAAUACGUAUGGGGCGAGCGUUGUCCGGAAUUAUUGGGCGUAAAGGGUACGUAGGCGGUCUAUUAAGUCAGGUGUGAAAGCGUGAGGCUUAACCUCAUUAAGCACUUGAAACUGAUAGACUUGAGUGAAGGAGAGGAAAGUGGAAUUCCUAGUGUAGCGGUGAAAUGCGUAGAUAUUAGGAGGAAUACCGGUGGCGAAGGCGACUUUCUGGACUUUUACUGACGCUCAGGUACGAAAGCGUGGGGAGCAAACAGG